This 253-nucleotide ribosomal RNA is filed under the name uncultured bacterium. Its description in RNAcentral is "partial 16S ribosomal RNA". It matches the Rfam family "Bacterial small subunit ribosomal RNA", at positions 524 to 776 of the family's 1533-position model. The record is from RNAcentral.
UACGUAGGGGGCAAGCGUUGUCCGGAAUCAUUGGGCGUAAAGCGCGUGUAGGCGGUUCGGUAAGUCCGCUGUGAAAGUCGGGGGCUCAACCCUCGAAUGCCGGUGGAUACUGUCGGGCUAGAGUGCGGAAGAGGCGAGUGGAAUUCCUGGUGUAGCGGUGAAAUGCGCAGAUAUCAGGAGGAACACCGAUUGCGAAGGCAGCUCGCUGGGACGUAACUGACGCUGAGACGCGAAAGCGUGGGGAGCAAACGGG